UAAGAAAAGUUAAAUUUAAUCCGAACAAAUUCAUUCCGCAUCGAUUCAAUUUUCAAUCCGGCCUCCUCCUAGGCCUGAUUGAAAAAAGAGAUAAUUGGAAAAUUUUUAUUCACCCAGGAAUCGAAAUCUGAAAAUUUUGCAUAUUUAAUACGGACAAAUGGAUUCGUCCUUUUCGAUUUCGAUUUUAUGAUUAAAAAUUGACGAUUCAAUUUUCAAUCCGACCGCCUAGGCCUAAUUGAAAAAAGGAAUAAUUGAAAAAAUUUUUAUUCACCCGAAAAUCAAAAUCAGAAUAAAAAUUUCGCAUACUAAAUACUGACAAACGGAUUCAUCCUUUUCGAUUUCGAUUUUAGGAUUAAAAAUGGGCGAACCAGACACGCCGAUAAAGUAUUUAUUUUUAUUUUUAUAUUAAAGAAACAAAAAAAAAAAAAAA
RNAcentral lists this long non-coding RNA (430 nucleotides) under Ananas comosus (pineapple). RNAcentral's name for it is "long non-coding RNA (ACOM_LNC039336)". Lineage: Eukaryota; Viridiplantae; Streptophyta; Magnoliopsida; Poales; Bromeliaceae. The record is from RNAcentral.